Molecule: ribosomal RNA, 497 nt
Filed under: uncultured bacterium
Lineage: Bacteria
Description: partial 16S ribosomal RNA
Rfam family: Bacterial small subunit ribosomal RNA
Source: RNAcentral
GACGAACGCUGGCGGCGUGCCUAAUACAUGCAAGUUGAGCGCUGAAGGUUGGUCCUUGUACCAACUGGAUGAGCAGCGAACGGGUGAGUAACGCGUGGGGAAUCUGCCUUUGAGCGGGGGACAACUUUUGGAAACGAAUGCUAAUACCGCAUAAUAUCUUUAAACACAAGUUUUAAGUUUGAAAGAUGCAAUUGCAUCACUCAAAGAUGAUCCCGCGUUGUAUUAGCUAGUUGGUGAGGUAAAGGCUCACCAAGGCGAUGAUACAUAGCCGACCUGAGAGGGUGAUCGGCCACAUUGGGACUGAGACACGGCCCAAACUCCUACGGGAGGCAGCAGUAGGGAAUCUUCGGCAAUGGACGAAAGUCUGACCGAGCAACGCCGCGGGAGUGAAGAAGGGUUUCGGAUCGUAAAACUCUGUUGGUAGAGAAGAACGUUGGUGAGAGUGGAAAGCGCAUCAAGUGACGGUAACUACCCAGAAAGGGACGGCUAACUACGUG